GAUUUACUCUCACAAAACUUCAUCAACCCUUUUUCUCUCUCUUUCUCUCUCUCUGGCGACUCAUGAACAUAUCUGUAAGGAUUUCACCAGAUCUAGGGUUUUACUUUCAUUCGAAUUCAAAUCCAUGACCCCAACCUGUGACGGUGUGGUGUGCAGUGUUAAAAUCCGCUGAUUAGGGUUCCGGCAGUGGGAUUCUCGAGCAGAUUGGUGGCAGACGAGCAUCCGGCUGUAGAUGGUGGUUUUCUGGUAGAUCUAAGUUUUAAACCCCCAGCCGCUCCUUUUCGUUCUCUCUCAAAGAUUCAGUCCAGAUCUGCCCUCACUUCGCGAUUCACCAUAAGCUAAGAGGAGACAUGAUAGAGGAGAAAGGGAGCCGACAAAGCCCUAGCUGUUGCAUCAGGCGGAGAUGAGUACUGGAGACCAACUUAGCGUUGUUGUGCCUCAGGAGCCUUAAUUUCAGUGCAAAUUAUACGAUUUCAAUACUCAUUUAUUAAAUUGAAGAAGUAGAUAUCAUGUUCCAUGCACUGAUGAACGAGAUAAACAUUAAUCUUGUGGCGUAUAAGCUAUUAUGCCUAACAAGCUGAACUCAGUGCAAUGUGCUGGUGUAGACAAAAAGGAAGAACUACUAUGGAUGCCGACAAGAACCAUAUUACCAAAGACCAGUGCUUGGCGAGUGAGAAAAGACUCACAAGCGUUGUAUAGUCGUUUGGCUAAAGAAACAUGGAAAUCGUUUUGAGAUUGCUUGUUACAAGAACACGGUCCUCUCAUGGUGUCCUGGCGUUUGGUGGAGGAAACAGGCACAGAAGAUCAACAUUUGCGAAAUUUAAUCAGCGUUUCAGACGCAACUUCCUGAAAGGCCUGUUACGUUUGGGUUUGCAGGUAGCAACGGACGAUUCUGUUUGAUCUGCGCUUUAUGGGAACACAUUGAAAUGAAUUAAGCAGGUUUGUAGUAGACAGUAGUGACAAUGAAGGCAAAUGGGAAGUCUGGUGAAGACCAGACCCAACUGGAAGAACUGCGUCGGUACUGUUGUGGAUUUUAUAUCUGUUUUUCUUUCUCUAUUUCUUAUUUAUACAGAAGUAGUGACGUUUACGUGCCAAGGGAUGAAGCCUUUUCUGAGAUGAAGAACCUAACGUUUAACGCCAAGACUGUAUUUUUAGUGCUGAAGGAAGUGUUACUUUCGGCCGAAACGUCAAUGAUUGACCAAGAUCUUGGGUUCCUGUACCUCACAAUGGUAGUUUACGGUCGGUCGAAACGUCAAUGGUAGUUUACGAACGGUAGAUGAUAAUGAUGAUGUAAGCAGAGGGCAGUAUUGUCAACUUGAUGAGGUUGAAAAUGGUGGAAAUAUUGUUCCUGAGAGCUUUGAAGAGCAGAUGAUGCUAGCGAUGGCGGUUUCAUUGGCCGAGGCUCGAACUAGGAUUAGCAGUACGCAAGAGGUCGCGUGGAUUUAGUGUGUGUUUUAAGGUGUAUUAUUUGUGUGUUGGUAUACAGUGAUGUAAAACAGAAAAAUAUGGAAGUGUAGAUUUGUGGGUAGAGGUUUGAGUCAUGAAUGCAUGCAUACAGUCAAUCAACCCCUUUGAAGAUUUUAAAGUCUUGUAUGAUUGUUGUUUAUGGGAGAAUUCAGAUUUGUUGUUUGGCCAUAAAAGCA
Long non-coding RNA from Helianthus annuus (common sunflower), 1643 nucleotides. RefSeq lists it as uncharacterized. NCBI's taxonomy places the organism in Eukaryota, Viridiplantae, Streptophyta, Magnoliopsida, Asterales, Asteraceae. The record is from RefSeq and is a predicted model, not a curated record. The transcript is spliced from 7 exons.